Long non-coding RNA from Neopelma chrysocephalum (saffron-crested tyrant-manakin), 120 nucleotides. RefSeq lists it as uncharacterized. NCBI's taxonomy places the organism in Eukaryota, Metazoa, Chordata, Aves, Passeriformes, Pipridae. The record is from RefSeq and is a predicted model, not a curated record. The transcript is spliced from 2 exons.
GCUGCUGCGGUGCCACCGCCGGGCCCUACGGGAACAGCUCUGGGCUGUUGAGACCCUCCUGGAGCCCACCAGGUUCCCCCCCCAAUCUGGGGGGGGCCAAUAAAGCAAUGAAACCCCAAA